RNAcentral lists this unclassified non-coding RNA (178 nucleotides) under uncultured fungus. RNAcentral's name for it is "sequence contains ITS1, 5.8S rRNA gene". The record is from RNAcentral. Lineage: Eukaryota; Fungi.
AAGAGUUUGGUGCCUUUGGUACCUUCUCCAACCCAAUGUGAACUUUUUUCGUUGCCUCGGUGGGUUUGAUAGUACCCGUAAGGUGUUCCUAUCCAUCCUCUGACCUGUCGGAGAGCACCCACCGAUGGAUUUUUAAACUUGAUUAAUUUGAAAUCUGAGUAAACAAAAAAUAAAAACA